ACAAGAUGUUUCAUGAAAAUGAUACACAAGUAUGAUGAAAUACAAGUUAUUUCUGAAUUUUAUGAUGACCAAAAAUGCUAUCAAGCCUUAGGUAUGAGUAUGUCAAACCAAAUGAAAGGAUAAUAUAAUAACAGGGGCGUUUCCUGUGGAAAGGGACACUUAGAAAUAACGAAAAUAACAUUUCGUUAGCAACCAACCAUGGUUCCGUAUUUCAGGGAUGGUUAUCCUCUGCAUUUAUCAUCACAAGAUGUUUCAUGAAAAUGAUACACAAGUAUGAUGAAAUACAAGUUAUUUCUGAAUUUUAUGAUGACCAAAAAUGCUAUGGAGCCUUAGGUAUGAGUAUGUCAAACCAAAUGAAAGGAUAAUAUAAUAACAGGGGCGUUUCCUGUGGAAAGGGACACUUAGAAAUAACGAAAAUACCAUUUCAUUAGCAACCAAACAAUUCUAAAAUUUUCUCGAAAUAAUUGUACUACCAGGAAAGAUUGCAUGCGAAUUUUUAACUUCAGAAAUGUUCCCAUUUGUGAGAUAGAAAAAAGAUAAAAUUGACUGUCACUAGUGUCAAAACUUAGUUUACUGUGUAGUUCACAAAUCACAACUCAGGCAAUUGUGUCUUUGUUGUACCUCAUGGAGUACAGUAGUGCAUUUAUUUUGAUAGUUUUUUAAAACUUAUGCUUGUGUUGUUCAAAUGGUACAUAUUUUUAAAAAGAUGCCCAUUUCGACAUUGCCUAACUCUUAGCAAUGUAGACUACAGGCAGAUAAGAUACCCAUAUUGAAGCUGUCCUAUAAUGCACUAUUUUUUGUUGACCUGAUGACUAGACACAUACCUUCUAGAAAUCUAGGUCAUUUUAAAGAAGCUAUAGUGCGCCAAAGAGUUAUAUCAGUAGCCUAAACCAUAGUUGCCAAGAACUGGGGUCGUUCGGGUCACAGAACAGGGUCAGAAGCAAAAUAAUGAUUUCUGACAAACACAAUAUAACUGCAAAACUAGAAUGAUUAAAUCAGAAAUACGACAUACCAAGUUAAUAAUGAGAUAAACAAAUGCACACCACCAC
This 1049-nucleotide long non-coding RNA is filed under the name Brachypodium distachyon (stiff brome). Its description in RNAcentral is "long non-coding RNA (BDIS_LNC000073)". The record is from RNAcentral. Lineage: Eukaryota; Viridiplantae; Streptophyta; Magnoliopsida; Poales; Poaceae.